This 1269-nucleotide ribosomal RNA is filed under the name Tenebrionoidea sp. 23 KM-2017. Its description in RNAcentral is "16S ribosomal RNA". The stretch from base 1035 to 1194 matches the Rfam family "Archaeal large subunit ribosomal RNA", at positions 2542 to 2701 of the family's 2987-position model. The record is from RNAcentral. Lineage: Eukaryota; Metazoa; Arthropoda; Insecta; Coleoptera.
GAGAAAUUAUUAUUUUAAAUUAAAGUUUUUAUAGAUUUUAAGAAGAAUAUAUUAGAUUUAAUUAUAAUAUUAGAAUAAAUAAUUAUUUGAUAGUGAAUAUGUAUUGUGAAAGAAUUAUUUUAUCAUUUAAAAAGAAAAUUUGAUUUGUUGUACCUUGUGUAUCAGGAUUUAUUAAAAUGAUAAAUUAUUUUAUUUUCCCGAAUUUUGAAGAGUUAGUUAGUUAAUAUUUUAUUGUGGUAAAAAUAUUUAAAAUAGUUGGCUGGAUGUGAAAUGUAAUUCGUUUUGAAAUAUAUCUGGUUUUUAAAGAAUUGAAUUUAAUUCAGGAGUUAAUUUAUUAUUGUUAUUAUUUUUAUUAGAUUAAUAUUUAUUUCUAAAAUUAAAAGGGAUAAUCUUUUUAAUUUAGAAUUAAAAGAAAGAUUAUUUAUUUUGUGAAAUUGAGUUAGAGUUGCUUAUUUUUAAAAGUUUAUAAUAAUUUAUCUUUUUAUUAUUAAUAUUUUUUUUUUUUUAAGUUUUUUAUUUAAAUAAAAGUUUAAUUUAUAAAUAUUUUGGAAUAAUGAUAAAAUUAUUAUAAUUUUAUGUAUUUGUUUUAACUAUUUAAAGUUAAAAAGAAGGAAUUUGGCAAAAAUUUUUUCACCUGUUUAUUAAAAACAUGUCUUCUUGAUAAAUAAUUUGAAGUCAGACCUGCCCAAUGAAAAAUUUAAUGGCCGCAGUAUUUUGACUGUGCAAAGGUAGCGUAAUCAUUAGUUUUUUAAUUGAAAACUAGAAUGAAGGGUUUCAUGAAAAAGGUUCUGUCUCUUUUUUAAUUUUUUAAAAAUUUAUUUUUAAGUGAAAAAGCUUAAAUUUUUUAAGAAGACGAGAAGACCCUGUAGAGUUUAAUAUAUGAAAUAUAUAAAGUUUUAGAUUAUUUUAGUUUAUUUAUUAAUUUAUUUUAUUGGGGUGAUUUAAAAAUUAAAAUAACUUUUUAUUUAUUUUUUUUCAUUAAUUAUUGUAUAAAUGAUCCUAAUUUUUGGAUUGAAAGAUUAAAUUACCUUAGGGAUAACAGCGUUAUUUUUCUUGAGAGUUCUUAUUGAAAGAAGAGUUUGCGACCUCGAUGUUGAAUUAAAAUUAAUUUUUGGUGUAGAAGCUAAAAAGAUUAAGUCUGUUCGACUUUUAAAUUUUUACAUGAUUUGAGUUUAAACCGGCGUGAGCCAGGUUGGUUUCUAUCUUUUAAAAAGUGAAUAUUUUAGUACGAAAGGACCAGAUAUUUAAAUUAAAUUUUAAAUUUUUAAU